This 69-nucleotide transfer RNA is filed under the name Ictidomys tridecemlineatus (thirteen-lined ground squirrel). RNAcentral's name for it is "Spermophilus tridecemlineatus (thirteen-lined ground squirrel) tRNA". It matches the Rfam family "tRNA". From Rfam's summary of the family: Transfer RNA (tRNA) molecules are approximately 80 nucleotides in length. Their secondary structure includes four short double-helical elements and three loops (D, anti-codon, and T loops). The record is from Rfam by way of RNAcentral. Lineage: Eukaryota; Metazoa; Chordata; Mammalia; Rodentia; Sciuridae.
GGGGUUGUAGCUCAGUGGUAGAGCACUUGCCUUGUACUUAUGAAACACUGAGUUUUAUCCUCAGCACCA